CGUUAUUGACUGGUCAGUGGGUUUCAUUUGGUGUACACAUGGGUUGGUUGGCUACCAGGGUUACCAGGUGUGAUCCACCGCUUCAUUCAGAAGUGAUACGUGUUCUGUACACAUGAGCAGCCACCGCCCUAAAAAUCCGUUCGUGUUACAGUCUGCUUUUCCAAACUAACCUCUCAUCGCUUCCUUCCUAUGCUCUGUAUCUCUCUUCUUCCCUGUUCCACCAACUCCUAAUUGAUAUUUAUUUUCUUCCUUAUCAGGUCGAUAUCCACUACACCCCCUCCUCUCUCACACUCCUUUCCGAUAUUCGACCUGUGCUUGCCUCUAAUGAUCGGCGGUGGCUAAGUCAUCGGGAACUCCACAAUUUUAGAUGGGCAUUCAAGAAGAAGUCCACAAUUCAAGGUAUGAAGAAGAAGUUCACAAUUUGGGGAUUCAAGAUGAAGUCCACGAUUCAAGGUAUCCAGAGUUAAUAACACGUGUCCAUGGGAAACGAAAGACUACUGCUUCCUUGUAUUCAUUUGUUCUUGAUUUCUCCUUCUCACCGACUUUAUUUGUAUUUGCUUCCGACUCUAAUCGAUAUUUCCACCGGUGGGAAGAAGAAGACGGUGGUCCAUUGUUACCAUACCCAAUCACCUAUAUCUCUACUGUUGGUGCCCAACAAAAGCCCUAAAAUCGAUUUCAAUUGCUCGCUCCUCCUCUUUGGUGGAUAUCGUUUUAGCUUUUCAGGGAAACAACAUUGAUGAUGUAAGUAUGUCAAUCCCCUUUCAUCACCUCUAAUUCUUAUCCUGACACAUCUUCUACUGCCCUUCUACUUUUUUCUUUCUUCUUUAUCCAAUAUUAGCCUCUAAUUGAAUCCCUUUAAGGUUUCUAAUUUUCGUUUCAGGUAAGAUUGGAUAGUAAAUUACAAUAUUGUCUUUUUUUUCUGUCACUUAUCUGUAAUCUUUAUCUAUUUCUUUUCCUGAAAAGAAAGAGUAAAGGUCAAUAAUAGCAACUGCAAGGUGAAAUGGUCUGCAAUUAGGGUUCUUACAGAGAAUUCAGCCACAUGUUAUUUAGAUCCUACGAGAGCGGAAAAGUAUUGAUCAUUCUAUCACAUGGUCUGCAAUUAGGGUUCAUUGUAAAAGUCAAACUUACUUUGAUCCUUAAGGAAAAGUAUUGAUCAUUGUACCACAUGUUAUUUAGAUCCUACGAGAGCGGAAGGUCAAGGGAUGUGAGUUGUUACAUUAAAGGCAGCCUUACAUCGAAGAAGUUUUUAUUACUAAAAAUUUGGAACUUAGUGUUAAACUCCGAUGCAGACAUGCAGUAAUGUGAAACAAGUUGCUGAGAAGUAACCUAAGAAGAAGGUCAAGCGAGUCUUUAGAAUGUGCACACCAUGUCCUAGUUGAAUGUUCCUUGGCGCAAAGUGUUUGAAGGUUGAUCUGGAGAUAGUGUGGUGUCCAUCAAGCUUCCUUUGGUAACAUAAGCGAUUUAUUGAACUUUGCAUCUAACGGGGGACGUUGUUCUAUGAAGCGUAAAAUUCUUAUGGUGAUUUGCUAUUGUAUGUCUUGGUGCCUAUGAAAAACCACAAAUAAUAGAGUCUUCAACAAAAGGUUGCCCUCUCCUUCUAUGGUGACUGACAACAUCAUUUCUACGGUGUAUUGUUGGGUGAAAUAUAGAAGAAAUUUAGCAAGUUGUAAUUGGAUUGAUUGAUGUAUCUCCCUAUUUUCUUGUAAUUCCGUUUUUUGUACAUUCUUUUUUUCUCUGCUAGAAAUGGGUCUUUUUUU
This is a long non-coding RNA of Lactuca sativa (garden lettuce), 1757 nucleotides long. RefSeq lists it as uncharacterized. NCBI's taxonomy places the organism in Eukaryota, Viridiplantae, Streptophyta, Magnoliopsida, Asterales, Asteraceae. The record is from RefSeq and is a predicted model, not a curated record.